GAUGAAGAACGCAGCGAAAUGCGAUAAGUAAUGCGAAUUGCAGAUUUCAGUGAGUCAUCGAAUCUUUGAACGCACAUUGCGCCCGCCGGCAUUCCGGCGGGCAUGCCUGUUCGAGCGUCAUUUGUACCCUCAAGCUUUGCUUGGUGUUGGGUGUUUGUCCCGCGUUGCGCGUGGACUCGCCUUAAAGCGAUUGGCAGCCGGCAUAUUGGCCUUGGAGCGCAGCACAUUUUGCGCUUCUAGUCAUGAAUGUUGGCGUCCAUUAAGCCUAUACAUUUGCUCUUGACCUCGGAUCAGGUAGGGAUACCCGCUGAACUUAAGCAUAUCAAUAAGCGGAGGA
RNAcentral lists this unclassified non-coding RNA (337 nucleotides) under soil metagenome. Its description in RNAcentral is "partial contains 5.8S ribosomal RNA, internal transcribed spacer 2, and large subunit ribosomal RNA". The stretch from base 1 to 120 matches the Rfam family "5.8S ribosomal RNA", at positions 35 to 154 of the family's 154-position model. The record is from RNAcentral.